RNAcentral lists this long non-coding RNA (14470 nucleotides) under Cricetulus griseus (Chinese hamster). RNAcentral's name for it is "lncRNA (ENSCGRG00015034326.1)". Lineage: Eukaryota; Metazoa; Chordata; Mammalia; Rodentia; Cricetidae. The record is from RNAcentral.
CUCCCAGAUAGCUUCAAGGAUAAUAAAAAAGGCCACUUCAUAAAAUUUCUCCUUUAUGAUAUUUCCCUUUCAAAACUACCAAAGAACUCUUCAAAAAUAUUAGCUUGGAAAAGGUUAACUUGCAUCUGCCUCACACCAAGUGAAAUGAAAGUUAUUUUUAUGCUAACAACCUGAGGAACAAAUUAUAAGUGAACAAAGCAAUAUUGGUAAUAAUAAAAUUUGUGUCAUCUUGCAGCUAUAACAGCUUCACUGCUACCACCUAGACUUAGCCAGGGCCACCAUCACCUCCCACCUCAUUUCCUGAAAAGGUUCCUCCCUGAUCUCCUGGGUUCAAUCCUUGUCCUGCCCCUGGAUGAGGUGUUUGUUUGUAAAUAAAGCUAAUUUUUUACUGCUCCUGCCUCAUCUCUUUUAGAAGCAAAGCCAAUGGUUCUACCUUGUGCAACAGUCAUGACUGCCCUGUCCCAAUGGAGCUCUUUCACCCCAUCCUUCUUUCUGGCUGGCUAUUCUCCAGCCACUCUGGGAUUUUCCUAAUUCUUCAAAAAGACAGACUCUCCCUGUGUCAACAUCUUUCCUAUUGUUCUUUCUGCCUAGUGGCCUCUUCUCUGAGUCUUUGCCCCUCUCUGCUUCUCCACACUACGUUUUCGAUACAAGUGGUCCAUCCUCAAAAAGGUCUUUCCUCAUCACUAUAUCCACAGUCAUCAUUUUUCCUCCCCUAACUCUCCACCCUCGCUCUGGCUUGACCCAUGUCAACCUGGUCUUGCCCUUCUCGUGUUCUCAAUGUCUGAUUAUAUCCAAUAUACAUUGGCUCAUGUGUUUAUCGCCAUUAUAGACUGGAUCUUAAAUGUCUCCUGAAAGUUUAGCACCAGCUGACAGUAUGUGAGGAGGUGGUUAAAACUCUAGAAGUGAGGUCUUGUUGAAGACACCAUUGAGAGGUCUUUGAGACUGUGCCUUUGAAGAGGGUAUGAGGAUCCACGGCUUUUCCCUCUUUCUCUUCCUUGUGGGCUUUCAAACACAACAAGUUUUGCUCACCAUAUUCCGCAUCAUGGUGUUUGGCUUUGCAAUGGGCCUGAAGUGAUUGAACUAAGAAGCCAUGGAAAUCUCUGUAACCAUGAACCAAAAUAUGUUUCCUUCCCUAUUCUGUGCAUUUUGUCUCAGCAACAGGAAGCUGAUAUAAGCAGGAACAGCAAGAACUGGUCUUCAAAACUCUCUCUACAGAGCACAGAAUCCAUCUGGCACAGAUUAGACACCUUGGUGAACAAUUGUAAAGGAAUGACUGGAGUUAAAAUGAUCAUGGAAAUACACUUCUGUGUCUAUGAGAUGUUUCCAGGAAGGUUGAACUAAGGAGGGAAGCUUGGCCCCCAAUGCAGCCAGUAUCAUGCAUUGGCUGGUUUUCUGGACUGCUUACAAAGAGAGGGCAAGCAGAGCACUGGAGUCCAUCCCUCCCUGCUUCCUGGAUAUUGAUGCAGUGUAACCAGAUGGCCCAUGCCCUUGUCAUCAUACCUGAUGAACUGUACUCUCUAACUGUGAGCCAAAAUAAACCCUUUCUCCCCUAAACUGCUUUCAUCAUGUUAAUGGCAAAUAUGAAAACACAUCUUUAAGACUCAGAUCUAGAUUAUUUCUUCUAAAAGCAAAGAUGCUGAAGAGUGAAGUUUGUGGGGAAAUGUUAAUACAGCUAUCUCAGCCUGCUGUCUUUAGUUGUCUUGGAACUUGGGUGUUGAAACAUUCAUGAAGACUUGACUGUUGUGACACCUAGGCUAAAUGACAUGAGUGGGGUUUUUAUGCUGAAGGCUCACUCUGUCUAAGCACCUAAAACGUAAAUGGGGAUGAGUGCCUUUAGAAUCAGUCUCCGGUGUGAAAGCCCUCACCCUGAGUCACAAGCAACCUCACCUGGGCAUGUGGAUUGAACAUGUGUGGAUGCACUUUUUGCUACUGCAGAGUGAGCGUGCUAGGUGUGACUGCUAAGAGGAUGAGGAAAGCAGGGGUAAUUCUACAUUUGGAUUUCUCCAAGUCUGCCUUGGAAAUGUUUCGUGGGUCUUGCUGUUGUUUUGUUUCUCAUCUUACUGCUCUAGCUGUGUAUCCUUUACAGCGCUGCAAUAAUAGAUCAUAAUUGCGUGCAAAGCUGAAAUCUGUGACCUGACUGAACCACAAAUGCACAGGCAGUCUUGGAGAAUUCUGUAAGUAAAAGACAGUAGCAGACACCUUGACUGAAGUGAUGGAUAUGGCACUAAGUGAGGGCACCACUCUAUACAUCUAGGAACCAAGAAGUUCAGUUUCGUUACAUCUGGCACAUAGUACAUACUCAGUGUAGGAAACCAGCAUCCCUAGUGCAGAAUUCAUUGAUUCAAAUAGUAGGGCUGUUCUUCUGACAAGGAGCUGUUAGCAUUUAUCAGGCAAAAGAGGGAGGGAGGCUACCUGAGCAAUUGAAGUCUAAACCCCAACAUUUUCCAAGAGAGUUAAAAUUAUAGGAGAGAAUUUGGCUUUUCUUGGAUGCAACUCUGCAUACUGAUUAGCCGCCUAAAGAGGCAAAUUUAUUCAAAUCUACCUCCCUAAAACAAAUGUCAUCUCCCCGGGGGAGUAAGAUGGUGUGGAACUAUAAACAGAGCUCACCAUUUCCAAGUCCUUUUUCAGGAAAAUUCUUCUCUCUGCUCUCCUGCAGUCGAGUAGUUGUAACCUGGAAGCAGCCGAAAAUCAUUUAAAAAGUGUUAACAGUCCAAUUUAUACAUAAAUUGUGUGAUUUAUACAGACACUAUAUGAUUUGUGUUGGGUGAUCAUAACAAGAUGUUUGCUUCAUGGCAAAUUAACUUUUGCAUUUUAAAAUGGAUUUUUUGUUGUUUUGCAUUUAUAUUUUUUUGUUUUGUUUUUGCAUACCAACUGCAGUUUCUCCUCCCUCCUUCCCCCCCCCACUCCCAUAGUGUUGCAGCAACAUUAGGUACCUCCUCUUCUAUUAAGGCUGGAUGUGGCAACCUUGUAGGAGGAAAGGGUCCCCAAAGUACGUAACAGAGUCAGAGACAGAUCCUGCUCCCACUUUUCAGAGUCUCAUGCAAAGACUAAGCCCAUUUAGUUGGGGCAGGACCAAGCGCCCCCACCCGCCACCCCCGCAUUAAGGCUGAGCAUGGCAUCCCACCAGAAUGAUAAUUUCUUUAGCAUUAAAGACCCAGUAGCCCAACGUCCCCAUUACAGUAUUUUAAGGCAGAGCUAAACCCAUGCAAACACGGAAAAUACCUUUCCCUCUGUUAAUGUAGACUAGCUUUUCUUGAAAACAGCAAACAGACUAAAAAACUGAAUUACCUUCUUAGAUACGAGGGCAGAAAAGUGAUUGCCAUUAAAGAUCAUACCAUUCCUUUUGCCUAUAGGUUGGAAGCCUUUAAUAUGUCUCCAAUUUGUUUUUGGAGUCAUGAAAUUCUGAUUAUAAUAGGAGUAUUAAGAGCUCCUAUCUGAAGUCUCCAGCAAUAUUUAGAAAGACAGAAGUGUCUCCUUCAGCAGGAAGUGGAUCUUCCUGAGAGAUUUGAAGGUACCUGACUCUGUGAGUCUGAAAAUAGGGUUCCCAGAGAAAAGAACAAUCGAAAAGAAAUGGAAGGCAAGACAGGGAAUGCCACCUAUGAACGGCCCUGUAAGGUCAGUGGAUGCCUCUGCCAAGACACUUCAGUUUCCAGAAGAUAGAAAUCACAUUUCUUCUGGGUCAUGUCAAUGUAGCUUCUUAACAAUUUAUUUUAAAUGAACAAAUAAGAGGUUGAGUACUUUUUAUAUAAAAUGCUGCCAACUCUACCUAUAUUUUGGCUUGCUAAAUAUCUAUAUAUUUUACAAACCCUCAACAUAGUAUUCCCUGAACCUCCUGCCAACGUAAUCUCUUCUCUUAGGAUAGUCACACUACAAUGUUAUCUUAACCAUAAUUAUUGUACAAAGGUAGAGUAAAGGCACCUGUUUGUUUUAUUCCUAUUAUUUUCCCAAUCCCUGAUUCCAUGUGCUUUAAGGUCCUUGAAUUCUAUGGAUCUUUUUCAAACCCUUAGCUUCCCUACUACACUAUACAGCCAAGUGUCCACAUCUGAUUUUAUGCUUGUAUAUUUAAAAGACCUAUACCUUAUCUUGUUUCUAGUUUUCACAUAACAAGGCAUCCUUAAUCAUUUAUCCAUCCCCAAUUCUAUUGCUUAAAACAAAUAAUCACCUACAUAUUUAUGAAAUUUUACCAUUGCAUAUAUUUCUAUUCUCUACCACUCAUCAUGAAAAUCUCUUCAUUUGUGAAUGAUUUUUACUAUUUUUGAAAAGACCUAUUACACUCUUCUUGAGCUGGAUGGCUAUGACUUUUUGUCUGCUCACCUGGUGUUACUCAUCAGGUUGGAUUGAAUAUGCUCAGUGGGAAACAAGGAUAAAGGUUGGCUCACUGGAUGACUUGUUAAUCCGCAUCAGCCAAAACACUUCUGACUUCUCAUUUGUAAAAUGAGAUUUUAAAACCUUCAUCAUUAUUUACUAAGCAUUCACUCUACCCUAGGAACUUAAUAAAAGACACUAAGCAUUCAAAGAGCUUAAAAAUGAGGCCUCCACUUGCAGUUUGGGGGGCAUCGUGGGAACUCUCAUUGAGAGGCACUCCAUUUCUGGUGCUUUACAUAUUAAAAGACAUCAGUCUCAUGAGGGCUCAGAUGCUCAGAUGAAUCCUCAGGGUAAGGUGGUAUCCUGGUGGCAGAGAAGUGGGAUUAGAGGCCCCACAGCUGGAGCUGUCUAAUAAGAGAUGGAGAGAGGAAGACAAUGUCAGAUAUUAGAUAGGCAUAUUAAAAGUUUUAUAGGAAGGGAAGGUGUUUUUCUUUUGCAGAAUGUGAGUUGUGCACAUCAAGAAAAUUCAAGUGCAUUCUGUAUUCUCUCUAAAUAGGAAUUGUUCCCUUUACCACCAUUCCAAGUACAGUAACUAUGGCUUUUUUUAGAGCCAAAUCACAAAACUCCACCCAAAACAAUUCCUAGCCAGACUCAUAAAAAAGCACGUUUUUAAAAGAAAAGUCCUAAUGUGUUACUUCUCGCUACAGAAAAUGAAGAUGUAUCCUAGUCUUUGUGUCCCCCUGUCUAAAUAAAGAACAGUAUUUUAUGUACAAAAUCAAUUUAUCAAAAGAUCUCUUAAAAUAGAGAAAUGAUUUCUAUGCUUGGCCCUCUAAUCUUUAUUCCUUUCUUUUCUGAUGGAGAAGUUUUAUUUUCCUUUGCUAUCACUUAAUUAAACAUAAAUUAAUCAUUCUCAGGUGAUGAACACUAGAAAAACAAUCAUCAAAUAAUUCUAGUGGGUAAAUAUGGUAAAGAAAACAUUAUUUUAAAAUUUAUAGUUUUUUUAAUUUUCUUUACAAUCUACAGCUUAAAGAAUUGUCACUUAUUUUUAUUAUUUCACAUGACUUGUUGCAUAGUUAUUGAACCUUGAGCUCAGGGGAAGUCUGGCAAUCAUAUAAUCUAUUGCAUUCAUUUUAUAGGCAAAGUAGGGAGGGUGCAUUUAAUAGCAGUGACAAGUCUUGUGAUCCCAAACCUGGUGUGCAAACCCCUUUAUUGCAUCUUUUCCCCUCUGUGAAGUGUUCCAAAGUGGGAAGUCUUGUGCUUUAUUCUCAGCAAGCAUGUAGAAUGCAAUUGCCAAUGACUACUAUCAUAGGCGGCCGGGGUGUAGCAGGCUUUGGAACUGCGCGGAGGAGCAGGUGGACGGCCGAGUGGGCUCCUCUCAGCGCAAACGGUGCCAGAAACACUUUGUGGUGGGUUAGUGCCAGAGGCAAAGAGGAAAAUUACCUGGGCACCUAUGCAGCAGGGGAAUAAACCAUGCCAAAAGCCGCGACCUACCCACAGGUUUCAGAAUAAAAAUUCCAUCCUGACACCAAAUAUCUUUAAAUGCAAUAAAAUGCAUUUAAUGAAAUCAGAGCAAGUUUGAUGAACAGAUAUUUAAUAGGAAAGUACUCACACGAUGGAGUCAGUCCCCUACCACCAGGCGAACCAGGAAACAGAGACAACCGCAUGCGUGGGACCCUCAUAUUUAAAGUCUUGCUACAUCACUCUGACCACGCACAAUUGUCUGUGGUCUGCAUCACCAGUGCCAGCCCCCAAGAAGGUGUGGCUAGCAUUUCCGCUUCAGACUACUGUGAUUAGAAGACCUCUAAUGACCACAUUAGAAAGCUCGGGAUAUGCUUCUGGGACUUCCUUUGAAGGUUUACCUCUGUACUCAGAGUAUUGUAGUCAAUAGUUAAUGUUUCUUAGGGUGAGGCAUCCUUCAGUAAGAAAUCAGCCGAUUCUGAUUAUCAAAACCCAACCCCCAGGAAGGAAUUUGAUGUCACUAUCAUCAAUAAAUUUAAGUUGGGUAAAUGGUGGUAUGGUGGUUUGAAAGAAAAUGCCCCACGUUGGCUCAUAGAGAGAGAGUCGCUGGCAGGAGGUAUGGCCUGCUGGAGUAAGUGGGGCCUUGCUGGAGGAAGUGCAACACUAGGGGGAACGCUUUGACACCUCAAAUGCUCAAGCCUGGUGUGGCAUUUACUUCUUUCUGCCUGUUGAUCUGGAUGUAGAAUUCUCAGCUCCUUCCCCGGCACCAUGUUUGCCUACAUGCUGCCUUGCUUCACACCACAAUGAUCGUUAAUUAAACUUUAAAACUGUAUGCCAGCCCCAAUUGAAUGUUUUCCUUUAUAAGAGUUAUUGUGGCCAUGGUGUCUUUUCAUAGCAAUGAAACCCUAACUAAGACAUAAAUUUGUACCAGGAGUUGAGUAUUGGUGUGAUAGGCCUGACCAUGCUUUUGUUUGGAGGAAUGUGGACUCUGGAACACAGGAUUAGAAUAGAAGUUGAAUUCUUUAAGUGGGGCUUAAUGGGACACCCUAGGAGGCACAUGGAAGACAGUAGUGCUGCAAGUAAUUUGGAUGACGGGGGCCUGACUCAAGAGGUUUCAGAGGAGAAUAUUUGUAUGUGACCUAGAGACCAUUCUUGUGAUAUUUUGGUGAAGAAUGUAGCCGCUUUUUGCCCUUCUCUAAAAAGUCUGCCUGAGGCUAAAUGGAAGAGUUUUGGAAUGUGUUGGCAGAGGAAAUUUCAAAACAGCCUAGUAUUGACUCUAUCCUGUGGCUGCUAGUAUUCACUCUUAUGGACAUCUAUAAUGAAAAAGUACAAACUAAGAAAAAUAGAAAAUGUAGAAUUCAAUGAGAAAAGGGGCACCAAGAAAAGGAAUGGAGCUAAAUCCUAUGUUCAUGUUCAAGGAGAUAAACAGAUUAAAGAAUAUCUUGAUGUUAAAUGGAAUAAAGAGAGUUGUGACUUCAAGGCAAGAUCCAAGAAACUUAGCUUCCAACUGUGAAAAUGAAUGACAGCUUAGAGCCUGGAGUGGUGUCUCAGGAGACUAAGGCAGAUGGAUCUCUGAUAUUGAGGCCAUCCUGGUCUACAGAGCAAGUUCCAGAAUAGCCAAGCUUAGAGGCAGCGAAGGAAACCAUGAAAACAGAAAGCUGGGGAAGAUGAAAUUAAAUGGGUGGGCCAUGAUCCAGGCCCAGCAAGGAGAACAUGGCAUCUCUGGCCAUAUGACUCUGGCUUUAGAUUCAAGAAAAGCAGAAAGGAGCUACAGAGUCUCCCCCUCACAAACUAGGAAAGCCACGGAGGCCAGGCAUGUAUCAGGAUUGUCUCUGCAUGGAGGACUAUGGAAUCCAUUUUGUGAAGCUAUAAAGGUGAAGUCUGGAUUGCUUUGGAGACCCCAAAAUGUUGGAGGUGACAUAUCCAUGGGAUACCUGCUGAAGAGAACAGCUAACAAGAAGUAGAACCAGCCCAAGAGAUAGAGUUGAAAGGAGUUGGAGAUCUUCUGUGUUUUUAUAUCAAAUAUGGAGAUACAGAGAUUGACUUUAUCCAGCUGGCUUCUAGUUUUCCUUUUACCCAGAGUUUCUUUACUGUGCUCCCUUUGUGCUACCUUUCUUCCCCCACUGGAAUUCUAAUGCAUAUUGUAUGUUCUGUCAUUAUAUGUUGGAAGUAUGUGAUCUGCUUUUUCAUUUUAAUUUUAAAGAGCAUUACAAUUAGGAGACUACAUGAGUCUCAGAAAACACUUUGAACUUUGGACUUUUAAAUAAGUUUUUAGAGUGUUAGAGACUACAAGGAUUUUCAAAGUUGCGCUAAAUGCAUUUCUGCAUUUUAAUAUGGCUGCAAUAUGGGAGUCAAGGAGCAGAAUGUGGUGGUUUGUAAGAAAAUGGCCCCCAUAGGCUCAAAGGGAGUAACACUACCAGGAGAUGUGGUCUUAUUGGAGGAAAUGUGUCACUAGGGAAAGACAGGCUUUGAGUUCUCAAAUGCCCAAGCUACUCCCAGUACACAGUUCAUUUCCUGUUGCCUGAGGAUCAAGAUGUAGAACUCUCAGCUCCUUCUCUAGUACCAUGUCUGCCUAUACCCCGCCAUGCUUCCUACCAUGAUGAUAAUGGACUAAAACUCUGAACCUGUAAACCAGCCCCAAUUAAAUGUUUUACUUCUAAGAGUUACUGUGGUCAUGGUGUCUCUUCAUAGUAAUAAAACAUGGUUUGUUAAUUAUCUCUUAAUUACAUUUGUGUGUUUAUAGAAAACAUUUAAAUUUCAUUUAAAAUUCUAAGAAAAUAUUGCUGUUUACAAAAUACUUUUCUAUAUUUUGUCAAAUAUAAUAUGCAGCUGUGUGUAAACACAGUUUCCAAUUGCAAGUCUACAUUUUUCAUUUCCUUAAAUAAAAUACAUAGACUAUGAUGAAAACUGUUAAAAGGAGCUAUGUUUAAAAGAUUCAAUUUCUAUUCUGUUCUUAUAACAUUUUUCUCAAAAUGAAACAUCUUGUGUCAAACUUAAGAAUUAGCACUAAUUAUUUUAAAGGCAUUGUUGGCUGUUCUGUGAUGAGAUAGUUCUUGAGACAAAAAAGAAAAUCAUCUGAUGAGUGUAAUAGAAGUAAAUUAGAGUUAGUAUUAAAAUCGGAUGGGGGAGGCUAUACAUAAUGCAAAUGAGUUCUCGUCCUGCUUCUGCUUCUAGUUUUGCUUUUGAAUCAAUGGAAAAACAGUUCCAUUAUUGAAUAUCAUGUAAUAGCUACAUUUUAUGAAAAUGGUGUUCCAACUGAUGAUUGACUAUCUUUGAGUUUAAACAUUAUUGAUGUACAUUAAACGUAAACUAAGGAAGUUUUAUAGGGACCAGUGGAAAAAAAGCUCUUACCCCCAAGCCUGAUGACCUGAGUUUAAUACCCAAAACAUGCAUGGUUGUAGAAGAAAAUCAAAAACCAACUCUGAUAAGUUGCCCUCUGAUCUUCACAUGCAUGCUGUAAAUAGAUGCACAUGCACACACACACACACACACACACACACACACACACACACACACACACACACACACACAAAUAAAUGAAUAAAUAGACUUUGAAAAAAGAAACCUUUAGAAAACAAUCCUGAAAGCUGAGAUGCAAGCCUCUUGACUGUGUUCUAGGCCUGCUAUGCUCAUGGUGAAACCUUGAAUUAUUAACCCUGACUCACAGUAAGUGCCAAAUGAAAACUGCCUCAGUGGAUUCAGAAGUAUAAAUCCUCUUGGUAUUAUCCAGGAAUCUCAAUAGCUACUGGCUUGAAAAUGUGCUGAGGCAAGUAGAAGCAAAAAUGAAUAUUGGGUGGUGCAGGCUGAGUCCCAGAAGUUGAGAACUAAAAGGUCAGUUCCAAGGCUCUAUGCCCAAAAAACAACUUCCCAAGCACAUGGUGUAUAAACUCUGCUAACAAUAGGUUAGACUAGUCUCUGAACUUACACCUCAUCUUCGUUACUGUUCUGUUGUUCUGAAGAAACACCAUAAUUAAGACAACUUAUAAAAGAAAGCAUUUAAUUGAGGAUUUGCUUAUCAUUUUACAGGGUGACUCCAUGACCAUCAUGGUUUGGAAGCAUGGCAGGGGGCAGGGAGGCUGAGCACCAGAGCAGAAGUUAGGAACUUACAUCUGAUCUGCAGGCAGUAGGCAGAGAGAGACAGAGACAGAGACAGAGACAGAGACAGAGACAGAGAUAGGAAAACAGUGUCAAACAGAGACAGAGAGAAACAUGGAGACAGACUGUAAAACAGAGAGAUAGGCAGAGAGACAAAGAGAAAGACUGGGCCUGACAUGGGCUUUUGAAACCUCAAAUCCCACCCCCACUGAUGCACCUCCUCCAACAAGGCCACACCUCCUAAUAUUUCCCAAACACUUCCACUAACUAUGGAACCAAACAUUGAAAUAUAUGAGCCAUUCUCAUCCAAAUCUCCACACCCCUCAGUAGAGUUAACAGUAUAAUGUGCACAGCUUACACACUGCUAUUCAACUCCUUCUUCGAGUCCUAGAAUCUUUAAACACUUGCUCUGCUCCCUAAGUGAGGGUUUUAUCACCUAUCUUGGUCUAGAACUUGACAUAUUACUAUUCUUUCUGUUUUCACUUUUCCAUUUUCAAAUGGCUGGACCAGAUGUGAUACUGCACACAGUAUGUUAUGCUGAAGUGGCAGAGGACAACCUGGACUACACCUGUAAGUUUAUAAGUUGAGUAUAGUGGUUCACACUUGCAAUCAGAGUACUGAGAGGUUGAGUCAGGAGUAUUAGUAUGAGUUCAAAGUCAGCCUGGCUACAGAGUGGGAAUCAGGCCAACCUGUACCAUACAAAUAAGUAAAUGCUCUCCAGAGAACACACACACACAAUAAUAAUAAUAAUAAUAAUAAUAAUAAUAAUAAUAAUAAUAAUAAUCAAAGAAGGAAAUGUUCUGGAUUGGAGAAAUGGCUCAAAGAGUAAAGUACUUGGUUCAUAAACCUGUGCACUUGAGUUCAAUCCCUAGAAUGCACAUAAAGGUUAGGAAAAAAGAACCAGCCCCUGACAAGUGUCUUCUGACUUACAUAUAGGUACGGUGUAUGUGUGCGCACACUUUCCCAAACACAUAUACUCUUAACAAUAAUAUUUUUAAAAAGUUAGUAUUGGGAGGACAGAUGAUUCAAUGGAAAAGGUUCUAGUUGCCAUGACAUGAAUUUUAUCCUCAGUACCCACAUGAUAGAAGGAGAAAAACAAUUCCCAGUUCUCAAAUGGUGUGCUCUGACAUCCACACAAAUCUACAACACACACAGACACACACACACACACACACACACACACACACACACACACACUCCAUCCAUCAAUCAACAAAUAAAUAAAUGUAAACUUUUAAUCAACCACUACUGUAGUACUACAUAAUUCAGAGGUUUUGUUAUAGUAGCACACAAUUUUAAUCAUAUAUUUCUCUACUAGUCUAGACAAAUUUUUAUAACAACAAAAAAUCCAAAACUGUCAACAAACCAACAAAAGUUCAUUUUUCAAUGUUAUUACAUGUCCAAUUUGGGUCAGCCUAAAGGCUCUGCCUACUGUAAUGAUUCAAAGGCCCAUUCUGACAGAAACUCAAUUGCAGAAUAUUUUCUCAAAGAUGGUGAGCCAGAUAAGGAUGACCAGAGAGCAGGUCACAUGCCCUUAAACUUCAUUUCAUUGACCAAAGCAAAUGACAAAGUUCCCAACUCAAAGGGGAUAAAGAAGUAUAGCGUCUCAUCAUUGCCUUUUCAUUUCUAUGAAAAGCAGACAUUUUCUACUAAACGACUUCGAGCCUGUAGUAAGCCAUUUUUGCUUCUAUUGUGAUAUACGUGAGGCAGUCUCAGGAAAAGGUUUGAAUUAGCUCAUACUUCCGGAGGUUCAAAUCCACAGCAGCAGCAGCUAAUCUGUCCUGUAGCUUCAUGAGCACUUGUAGGAAGAAGACACUGCAUCAUCAAACAGGCAUGGAGAGCAAUUCAGUAAUCAGGCUUCCUGUUAUGAUACCUUGCUGUUUUGAGAGCCUAAGUAUCUCAGGAGUACAACCAUUGUGACCUAAAAAUCUCCCAGUAGGCCCCACAUCUUAAGUCCCACUACUCCUCCAACACCAUCACCCUACAGAUCAAGCUGCCAACUCAUGAACUCUUGAAGACAAACUCAAGUUCUAUCCAAACCAUGGUGAGGAGGAAGAAUUUUUUAAGCAUUUCUGAAGCAUGAGAAUUAUGUUCUACAUAUUCUGAGCAGACACACAAAUAAAAAAAAGAACAACUAUCUUUUGUUCAGUAAAACAUUUACUUUCAAAUACAUACCAUCAAUUGCUAUGAGGUAAUUAUAUUUUCAUUUCUAAGCUUAGUCUAACUUGAAGCAAGUAAACUAUUUAAAACUUGAUGUAGCAUAGCCAGUGUAGUAGUGGUCUACUGUGGUGAACAGACCACCAAGAAUUCUCAUGUCUGAGUGUCCAAAUCUGUAUAUAACCCCUUCCCAAAAGCAUGGAAGAUCAGUAGCAUGGCUUUAAGAAAUGUAAUGUACGGAAACAAGGUAAAGCCAGAUACUCUUGUUCUGACCUCCAUGUAACAGUCAUAUUUGAAUGUCAGGAAUUGUGGAUACUCUCUGAAAUGACAGCAGGGUUUAACUAGCAGCUGCAGAGAAACUGAGACCAUCAGUCACAGAACCACAAGGAAACAAACUCUGCCAACAAACUUCAAGAUCUCACAAGAAGCUUCCACAUAAAUCACAGCCCAAGUCACUCUUUUGACCAAAACCUGGCAAGAUCCUAAGAUGGGCUGUGUCUAGAACUCCAUUCCACUAAAACUGCAAACUGGUGUUUGUUGCUUUAAGCUGUUAAAUGUUUAUGUUUUGCUGUAUUGCAAUGAAAAAGGAAUAUGCCUGCUCAUGGCAACUCAACUUCAAUGCUCUUAUUUAUCUUUUGCAUAGUUUACUUUUUGAUUUGUAAAUUUAAAUUUAUAGAAAAGUUGCAAGUAUGAUGCAAGAAAAUCCAAUAUUGGGCCAUCCACAUGUCUCAGCAGGGUAAGGCACUUGCCAGCAAGCCCAACAACCUGAGUUUGGUCCUGUGACUUACACAGUAGACAGAACCAGCCCAGUCCCUAUAGACUCUUCUCUGACCACACUCACACACACACACAUACACAAUGUGAUUAGCAGGAAAUGAUGGGGGAGAUUUCAAUACACCUGUUAGUUAUUUUAUCUGUCAGUUAUUUUACCAUCUACUCUCUCACAUACAAAAGUUCUGAACCAUUUGAUAACAGGCUUAAGAAGUGGUAUCUUUAAACCUAAACACCCCCCCCAGAAGUGGAAUUUUCUAAUUGUAGUAUAAUUAUGUAAAAAGAAGAAAAUUGUUUAAUUUUCUAAUCCAGAGUUCACAUUCAAGUGUCACAAACUGUGCCAAUAAAGUGCGUUACAUCUAGUUUCUCUUUUAUGCCUUAGAUCUAAAAUGCAAAUUAAACUGGUGCCAUUUCAGUUAGGUUUGUUCUUUGUUCUGUAAUUGUUUCUAAACCUAUCACCAGCAUUCUUGGCUCUGCAUUUUUCAAGCACAGAAACAGGGUUUAUAUGAGGUAUCCUCAUGAUGGGAGGCAAUCGUGAGGAAUACCAGGCAGGGGUCCUGUGCUCAGUCCCAGGCACUGAGCAGAAGACAUGGAGUCCCCAUGGGCUUACUGUUGUACCAUGAACACUUUAUGAAAAUCCUCCUGUCACCUCUUCACUUAUUUCUAGUGGGUGAAUGUCUAGGAAUGAUAUUUCUUUAACCUGGUAAGAAACCACAAGCCAAGCACCCUCACCUUCUAUGAGUUGUGUCCAAGGUGAGUCCCAUAGGCCACUUGGGGUGACAUACAACCUGAGAUAGUUAUGAAAAGAUCUCAACACAAAAUCAUAAACUUGCUUAAAAUGUUGAAUAGGUUUUUUUUUUCCUUUUUGUGAUUUAUCUUUGUAACUCAUUUUCAUGUCAGUUGGUGUUGCUAUGAUUUUGAUAGUGAGUACCUUCUGCCUACUGGCCAUUGUGUACAUCUGUUCAAGUUCUCUGCUCAUGUUUUGAAAUUACUGAAUUAUAGGAAAUCCUAUAUCCUAGACAGAAAUUCUUUUUUGGGGGGUGGGGGUUUCGAUACAGGGUUUCUCUGUGUAGCUUUGGAACCUAUCCUGGCACUCGCUCUGGAGCCCAGGCUGGCCUCGAACUCACAGAGAUCUGCCUGCCUCUGCCUCCCGAUUGCUGGGAUUAAAGGCGUGAGCCACCAAUGCCUGGCCUUCAGAAAUACUUUAUCAAAUAUAUUUCACAUGUAUUUCCUACAAAUCUAUGAUUUUUUUACCCAUUAUGGCAAUAAUCAGUUGAUAAGCAAGAAAUCACAAUUUUAGCAAAGUCCAAUGUUCCAUUUUUUCUUUAUGGUUAUCAUUUUCUGUAUUUUUAUUAAAUUUUGAAAAGAAGAAUAUAGAUUUUUGAGCUCUCAUAUGUUAUGAUAAAUCUUUCUGCCACCUGCUUGAGUUCUGCCUGCCACGUAGAUGGCCAAAAUAAUACAGGACUUAUAUUAGGUACAAAUGCUGCUUGGCCAGUGACUAGGAUUUCUCAUCUGCUAGCUCAGUCUUAACUAUCAUAAAUCUAUAAAUUUUAUAAGACUUAUCUUAUCGGAUGCCUUUCAUUGGUGUCCUCAUCCCCAGGAUCACAUGGUGGCUCCGAGCAGAGAGCAGGAGGAAGAGCAAAGGGGAAAAAGAACCACUUCUUGCUUAAUAUGAGUCUCCCUG